CGCAGCGGGGCUUAAAGGGCCACUCCGCGGCGCUGCGGGCCGGGCGCGGUCGGCGCGGCGCCCCGUGCUGCGAGCGGCCGGGCGCUUGGGGCCCGGCUCUGCCGGGAAGCGAAGGCGCUUUCAUAACUGGGGGCUGUGUAAUAUUUGCAUUUUCCGUGGCUUUUCUGUUCUUUCUUCUCUCAGAACUAGACUAUGAAUUUAUGCUAAUUAAUGUUUUUGAGUCUUAGGGCAGUCAAGACAUUGAACGCAGGCCAGGGCGCAUGUUGGUACUACCUUCAAAGGAUGCCAUAGAAACAUCUGUUGUACCUGGGCAUUUGGAUUACAGAGGAUUACAGAUAGGGCAGAGGUUUCGGCCUGUGCACAAGAGACAAUUGUUUUUGAUACCUGGGAAGUCACUGAAGGCCAUUAAGAGUAUUAAUAAUGUUACUUAACAUUUUUACAGUGCUUUGCAUGCUUAAAGCACUACACAGACUAAAAAGUAAUUAGUGACCUGGAUGUUUCUGAAGUGAUCAGCAGUAUCAUUUAAACUAUCGUUAAAAUACAAUUAGCAGCCGUUUGAACUGAAUGUUGUAGUUCACAAAAGUCUAAUUGGCGGCUUGUGUGUCGCAUCUGGACAACAGGAGGAUUGUGUCAGCAUUUCUUCUUCUUGAACUGUACCAGCUCAAAGAGCACCUAGUCCCAGGAGUGGCUGCUAUACCCACAAGGUAAAAAUGGAUAGCCAUUAUGUGACGGGAAAGUUGACCACACAAAGUACCCCUUGUAUCCAGCCCACUGCACUGAAAAGCUGAUGAAGCUUGGAUUUUUUUUCAGCUUGUUUCAAUCUGUGUGCCGAUUCAAGCAGGCGUUGAUUCAUCACUUUAUACUUCAUAAUUCCAAACAAUUCCGUUUUUCUUUUUUUACUUGAGUUUUGGAGCACAGCUUUGCAGCAGAAGCAGCUGCUGUGGCAAGAUUCCUGGUGAUGAAAUUCUGGAGUACUUGGACAGACUCAUGGCCCAUCCACAGGCCCUGGCAGUAAGGAAGAGGGCUGCAAGUUCUCCCCGCAGCAGCAAGAACUAGAAAGUUCUGGGGCAACCAGGAGCAGCAGCUAAGUGGUUCCACAGUGAGACACACCAGAGCAAAAGAUGGGAAGAAAUAUUAAGGAAAAUCAGGUAAAACAAGUUUUUCCCUGUGGGUAAUGUAUGUACCAGUUAUCCCCAGGAAAAGGUACCUGUCAAGAUUACCUUUUGUACCCAAUGCUACAGCAGAAGUCCAUAUCCAUCUCUUAGUGGGACUGUGUUUCGUUAACAAAGGAAUCAAGACUAAAAUGAUAACAUUCAUCUCCAUGUUCUUGCCCUGACAUGGUUAUUCAUUAGGAGUUCUUCCUAAUGACUGUUCAGUUCCUUCCUUCUAGGGAGCCACUCCUAAUUCUCUUCUAUUCAGGUUGGAUAAUGAGUCACAGACUUUAAUAUUAAUCUUUAUUAACCCUUUCCUUACAGAACCAACAUCUGGUAACAGUGUGAAGUAUUUUGUGCCUCAAUGCUGAAGAAGAAAGCUCUGUAAUGCCUUUUCCUCUAUUACUCCUGGGUUUUAUAUGCAGAUAACCCAUUGAUUCUUGCAGGUUUUCUACUGUUGUUUACUUAAAAAUAUACUGUCUUCAUACCUUUGUUAAUUGCUCUUUAAAUCUUUCUUAGCCUACCUGCUUACCAGUGUAAUUUUGCUUGCCAUAAAUUAUGCUUCUUUUCCAUUGCCUUCUGUCUGGCCAGAUUUUCAGUCACUGAAAAACAGCAAUUUGAGUAAAAGAAAUUCUUGAAA
This is a long non-coding RNA of Dromaius novaehollandiae (emu), 1791 nucleotides long. RefSeq lists it as uncharacterized. The transcript has 3 exons. The record is from RefSeq and is a predicted model, not a curated record. Lineage: Eukaryota; Metazoa; Chordata; Aves; Casuariiformes; Dromaiidae.